RNAcentral lists this long non-coding RNA (215 nucleotides) under Elaeis guineensis (African oil palm). RNAcentral describes it as "long non-coding RNA (EGUI_LNC036831)". The record is from RNAcentral. Lineage: Eukaryota; Viridiplantae; Streptophyta; Magnoliopsida; Arecales; Arecaceae.
GCCAUGGGGCAUUGGUGAGUGGGGUGGUUUUGCACCAUCGAACAGUCGGCAGUGACCUGAACACCUGAUCGGAUGGUUGGAUUUGUUGUCGGUCAAAAGAACAAACCAGAGGCUUCCUUUUGCACUGAUCAAUGGCUAUGAAUGAAUCCGGAUGAGAUCCAAUGGUCCAUGGAGCUACCAGUAGCUAGAACAAACCAAAGCUCCUUCUAUGCGCA